AUGGCUCAGAACGAACGCUGGCGGCAGGCUUAACACAUGCAAGUCGAGCGCCCCGCAAGGGGAGCGGCAGACGGGUGAGUAACGCGUGGGAAUUUGCCCUAUGGUACGGAAUAACUCAGGGAAACUUGAGCUAAUACCGUAUGUGUCCUUCGGGAGAAAGAUUUAUCGCCAUAGGAUGAGCCCGCGUCCGAUUAGCUAGUUGGUGUGGUAAUGGCGCACCAAGGCGACGAUCGGUAGCUGGUCUGAGAGGAUGAUCAGCCACACUGGGACUGAGACACGGCCCAGACUCCUACGGGAGGCAGCAGUGGGGAAUAUUGGACAAUGGGCGCAAGCCUGAAUCCAGCCAUGCCGCGUGAGUGAUGAAGGCCUUAGGGUUGUAAAGCUCUUUCGCCCGCGAGGAUAAUGACGGUAGCGGGAUAAGAAGCCCCGGCUAACUUCGUGCCAGCCGCGGC
Molecule: ribosomal RNA, 452 nt
Filed under: uncultured bacterium
Lineage: Bacteria
Description: bacterial SSU rRNA
Rfam family: Bacterial small subunit ribosomal RNA
Source: RNAcentral